RNAcentral lists this ribosomal RNA (223 nucleotides) under uncultured bacterium. RNAcentral's name for it is "partial 16S ribosomal RNA". It matches the Rfam family "Bacterial small subunit ribosomal RNA", at positions 15 to 230 of the family's 1533-position model. The record is from RNAcentral.
GAUCAGGCUCAGGAUGAACGCUAGCUACAGGCUUAACACAUGCAAGUCGAGGGGCAGCAUGGUCUUAGCUUGCUAAGGCCGAUGGCGACCGGCGCACGGGUGAGUAACACGUAUCCAACCUGCCGUCUACUCUUGGACAGCCUUCUGAAAGGAAGAUUAAUACAAGAUGGCAUCAUGAGUCCGCAUGUUCACAUGAUUAAAGGUAUUCCGGUAGACGAUGGGG